UCUAGAACUUGCUCUAAGAAGUGCUUAGAUUGUAACUCUUUAUAACAUGUUGGAACUACUCUUUUGUUUAGUGUUAAGUAGUUUUAAUGUUUAGUAAUACUUAAUGUUUGAUGUUUAGUAAACAUGGUUAUUCCUAAAUUUUUAAUGUUUAGUAAUACUUAAUGUUUAAUGUUUAGUAAACAUGGUUAUUCCUAAAUUUUAUGGUGUUGAGGAAGGCGCGACCAGGAGGUGUCACGACUCCUCGACGAGGUGCGACUCAAACCCUGUAUUAGCACGGAUUGGUUAU
This 286-nucleotide long non-coding RNA is filed under the name Physcomitrium patens. RNAcentral's name for it is "long non-coding RNA (PPAT_LNC006543)". The record is from RNAcentral. Lineage: Eukaryota; Viridiplantae; Streptophyta; Bryopsida; Funariales; Funariaceae.